This 951-nucleotide ribosomal RNA is filed under the name Microbacterium sp. 104NP23. Its description in RNAcentral is "bacterial SSU rRNA". It matches the Rfam family "Bacterial small subunit ribosomal RNA", at positions 87 to 1048 of the family's 1533-position model. The record is from RNAcentral. Lineage: Bacteria; Bacillati; Actinomycetota; Actinomycetes; Micrococcales; Microbacteriaceae.
UGGAUUACAUGGCGCAACGGGUGAGUAACACGUGAGUAUCCUGCCCUUGACUCUGGGAUAAGCGUUGGAAACGACGUCUAAUACCGGAUACGAGCUUCCACCGCAUGGUGAGUUGCUGGAGAGAAUUUUGGUCAAGGAUGGACUCGCGGCCUAUCAGCUUGUUGGUGAGGUAAUGGCUCACCAAGGCGACGACGGGUAGCCGGCCUGAGAGGGUGACCGGCCACACUGGGACUGAGACACGGCCCAGACUCCUACGGGAGGCAGCAGUGGGGAAUAUUGCACAAUGGGCCGAAAGCCUGAUGCAGCAACGCCGCGUGAGGGACGACGGCCUUCGGGUUGUAAACCUCUUUUAGCAGGGAAGAAGCGAAAGUGACGGUACCUGCAGAAAAAGCACCGGCUAACUACGUGCCAGCAGCCGCGGUCAUACGUAGGGUGCAAGCGUUGUCCGGAAUUAUUGGGCGUAAAGAGCUCGUAGGCGGUUUGUCGCGUCUGCUGUGAAAUCCCGAGGCUCAACCUCGGGUCUGCAGUGGGUACGGGCAGACUAGAGUGCGGUAGGGGAGAUUGGAAUUCCUGGUGUAGCGGUGGAAUGCGCAGAUAUCAGGAGGAACACCGAUGGCGAAGGCAGAUCUCUGGGCCGCUACUGACGCUGAGGAGCGAAAGGGUGGGGAGCAGACAGGCUUAGAUACCCUGGUAGUCCACCCCGUAAACGUUGGGCGCUAGAUGUGGGGACCAUUCCACGGUUUCCGUGUCGUAGCUAACGCAUUAAGCGCCCCGCCUGGGGAGUACGGCCGCAAGGCUAAAACUCAAGGAAUUGACGGGGGCCCGCACAAGCGGCGGAGCAUGCGGGAUUAAUUUCGAUGCAACGCGAAGAACCUUACCAAGGCUUGACAUAUACGAGAACGGGCCAGAAAUGGUCAACUCUUUGGACACUCGUAAACAGGUGGUGCAUCG